CUGGCCAGCUGCUUGUUCUUCCAGUACAGGAACAGGAAAAUGUCAGCUUGAGAAUCCAGCAGCUACAGAAAACUGGGUCAGGUCAUGACUGUCUUGCUUCAUUUCUGAGGAUGUUGUCUAAGAGAGUAGCUUUACACUUGGACCACCACCUUCACUGGGACCUAACCUUCACCUGCAGUCAGCACUGCUCAUAAAACACCUUUUGCAUCUUUUGAGUCUCACUGCUGAGGAAAGUUCCCUGUUGUCAGUGUGGAGACCAGGAGAGGUAAAAGGUAAGAGGUGUCUCUCUUUUUUUUUGUAUUGCUCACUUGUUCCUAACAACUCCUCCAAGCAAUACUUCUA
Molecule: long non-coding RNA, 342 nt
Filed under: Chloebia gouldiae (Gouldian finch)
Lineage: Eukaryota; Metazoa; Chordata; Aves; Passeriformes; Passeridae
Description: Erythrura gouldiae (Gouldian finch) lncRNA (ENSEGOG00005016101.1)
Source: RNAcentral